UACGUAGGCAGCAAGCGUUGUUCGGAAUUACUGGGCGUAAAGAGUUCGUAGGCGGUGUGCCAAGUUUGGUGUGAAAUCUCCCGGCUCAACUGGGAGGGUGCGCCGAAUACUGGCAUGCUCGAGUACAGGAGAGGAAAGCGGAAUUUCUGGUGUAGCGGUGAAAUGCGUAGAUAUCAGAAGGAACACCUGUGGUGUAGACGGCUUUCUGGACUGUAACUGACGCUGAGGAACGAAAGCGUGGGUAGCAAACAGG
Molecule: ribosomal RNA, 253 nt
Filed under: uncultured bacterium
Lineage: Bacteria
Description: partial 16S ribosomal RNA
Rfam family: Bacterial small subunit ribosomal RNA
Source: RNAcentral